This 5168-nucleotide long non-coding RNA is filed under the name Sus scrofa (pig). RNAcentral describes it as "lncRNA (ENSSSCG00000056816.1, ENSSSCG00105009427.1)". The record is from RNAcentral. Lineage: Eukaryota; Metazoa; Chordata; Mammalia; Artiodactyla; Suidae.
ACAUGUUCUUCUCAUGGCAAUCUUCUCAUGGCAAUGACAGAAACACCACACACACCAAGCAUUUACUUCUGCAAUUACCACUAACAUCCCACUGGCCAAUGCAAAACACAUGGUCAAGCAUAGUAUCAAUCAGGCAGUGCGAGGGAGAUAGGAGUUUUGUUUGCUGAGCAAUCACACCGACUAUUAUUGCCAACUCUCUUGUUUAUGUUAAUUCAUGACCUUCCCAUAUGCAAGAUACACUAAUCCACAUCCCAAGACCUUCAAAAGUCUCACCUAGUCACAGCAUCAAAUUCAAAGUCUAGGACCUUGUGAUCCAUGUCAGGUCAAAAUGUGGCUUUUCUUCAUCCAGAGACCUAUUAAUAAAAUGACAGGUUAUCUACCCAGCACACAUCCAAUGUAUAGGGGUUGAACAGGAAUGGGAUAAAAGUAAUAACUUGCAUUAGAAAAAUCAGUGCUUUCCCCAGACUGAUUGCUGCCUUAGGAAAGAUGGAAUUUGCAAGACCUUUUUAUAUCUCAAAUGAUUUUAGUCUUUUAGUUCAGGCUGGCAAUGCUUUUUCCAAUAUGGCUCUUUUAAAAAUGUUGUAAGUUUCAAACAUCAUUGCACCAAAAUAUGUGACGCCCAUAUUUCUUUUUGAGAUAUGAUUCUCUCUAGAGACUCAAUUACAGAUACUUUAGAAGUUUCUAGCUUCUUCUGAACCAAGACCUCAAUCCUUGUAGGAAUUAUUUUGUCUAUGUAAAAGGAUCUUAUAGGUAUCCUAAUCACUUCAAAAGUCUUAGCCAAGGAACUUAAACCACAGACUUUACCCUGAGGCAAUAUCUUACUGACAGUCCCCUGAAUUUGUUCUUUUCCUUGACACUAUGUCAUAAUGGGCAUACAGCUUUGUUGAAAAAUAAUUUUAUUUUCCACUUCCACUCUCAUUGAUAGGUAUUUUUUAAAUACAUCUUAUUAAACAGAAACUGGUUUCUCUCUAAGAGUUAGAGAUGAUCAUCCAUACCAUCAUUCUUACAAAGGGUAUAUUGGAAGUACAUGGAGACCUCCAAAUGUUGUCCUUGCUUCUGUAAAUAUCAUCUCAGAAAAUGGUUAAAGCUAAGGUAAUAUAGGGAAUUUAUAAAGCAAGAACCAGACUUAUUCAGCAAGAAGAGCAAAAUUAAUUACUGCACUUCAGGCAAAAGAUCUGUUCUUGGGGCUGUUCUUCCCAAUGCAAUAAGAGAAAUUUAAUAAAGUUUUUCAGAAAAUAUUCAUGGAUGAAUUCACGGCAACACAAUGAGCAUUAUUGAUGAAUGAGAGAACAACCACCAGUGAUUAUACCUGGGACCUUGGUGUGAGGAGAGCAACUAACAGCCAGUCAAUUAAAAAUUUUGAAGGAAAUGAAUGUUCCUAAUGGAUGCCAGGCAAUUACAUGAAACUAUAUUUUCGCACACUAUCACUGGGGACCAUAAAAUUAUUCAUAUAAUCAGUAGACCUUCAUGGAUUGACACAGAACUGUAAAACACAAAGUAAAAUAGAAUUAUAAAAUCAUGCUUUUGGUCCUAUCUUUGCUGGUUUUGGCACAUAGAAGUGGCUUCUGAUUUUCUCUCAACUAGGAUGGAAAAUCUAAUCACUGAUACCACCCACACACCAGCCUCAUACAACUCUAGGCCAUUCCCUGAAUACACUUUUGAUUCCCUGUGUCCUCCUUUAGCCCUUCAUUAUCUCAGGAAUCUCAGGCCAUUCCAUGAAUACACUUCUCAAUUCCCUGUGUCCUCCUUUAGCCCUUCAUUAUCUCCAACCUGGAUAAGACAGUUGAGCUGUUCCAUCAGCCUUAGUUCUUAUUCCCUUGUCUCUUUUUUUUUUUUUUUUUUUUCUCUUGUCCUUUUUAGGGCUACACCUGCAGCACAUGGAGGUUCCCAGGCCAGCGAUCCAAUUGGAGCUGCUGCUGCCGGCCUACACCACAGCCACGCCACAUCUGAGCCACAUCUGUGACCUACACUGCAGCUCAUGGCAACACAAGAUCCUUAACCCACUGAGCAAGGCCAGGGAUCGAACCCACAACCUUAUUGUUCCUAGUCGGAUUCGUUUCCACCGCGCCACGACAGGAACUCUGAUUCCCUUGUCUCUUAAAGCCUUGCUCCAAUGCCAUCUCCUGCAUAAAUUGCAUUUCUUAAUUGCAUUUCUAAGAAUAAUUACCUUUUCAUAGCACCCUGUUUAUUCCUCUUUGGGGGAUCAUCACCAUGUAAUGUGUUUUACUAGAGUAUGAUGCAUUGACAUCUGUUGCCCAUAUUGGACAGCAAGUUUCCAGAGGUAGUGUAUGGGCUUUAUCCCACUUUACCCCUUGCACACAAUGUUCAAUGUUCUAACAUGCAAGACUUCUAGCAGUUGAGUCAUUUAUAAAAUGAUUCUGACUUAUUAUGCUCAGAGCCCAGUUGGACCUCACUAUCCUGUUGACCUCAGUCAUUUAUUUUUCUAAGCCAUAGUUCUAUAGUUAAUCCCAUGAUCACCAAGCCUUCAGAAUAAUCUUCCUACAUAAUUUCAAGACAAAUGUUCCAACUGGGAUUCUGCUAGCAGUGGUAGCCACAAGGACUUUCUGAAGCAUGCAGUAGAUCUUUACCAAAAUAGGGAAUGAUGGAUAUGCUUAGAUAUGUAUACGUUGCUAGGUUUUUCAGCUUCAGAGGCUAGCUAUAGAUGACUGACUAAUGUACCAGACUAGAAAAAACAUAAAAAACUGUUUAUUUAUAAAACCAAGAAAUAAAGAAGAGCAAUUCCUGAGUACUUGAUUACUAUAUGACAUCGUGAGCAUGUAUUUUAUGAAGCCAAAGAUGAAUGAGAUUGGCUUGGAAAUCACCAAACCUCAGAACUAAUUGAGCACACAUGUACUUUGUGAAGGCCAGGUGAGAUGAACAAAAGGGUUUUCUGAGAAAAAUUGUAUGUGAAAACUGAAGUUGAAGAUGCCAGUUAGUCACUCCAUACGUUGUAUCUGGCCACCCAAAAAUGUAAGCGAUAAUUAAUAGCUGAACACUGGCUUUCCCAAGAUUUUAUCUGUGACAGCCUACAUGGAGAGGUGAGGAAAUCUGGGAUCAGCCUAAUUAUGGAGAAUUAUUUCACCAUAAAAGGCAAAGAAAAGCAAUAUGGAUAUAUUUAGUUAUGGAUAUUGAGUUUGUUUUUGUUUAAAAUGUAUUGUGAAUCUGAGAUAAUUUUAAAAUGAUGAGUACAGGAAGUUCCCAUUGUGGCUCAGCGGUAAUGAGCCUGACUGGUAUCCACAAGGAUGUGGGUUCGAUCCCUGGCCUCAUUUGGUGUGUUAAGGAUCCGAUGUUGCUGUGAGCUGUGGUGUAGGUCACAGGCAUGGCUCAGAUCUGGUGUUGCUGUGCCUGUGGUGUAGGCUGGCAGCUUCAACUCCUGUUUGACCCCUGGCCUGGGAACUUCCAUAUGCUGCAAAUGCAGCCCUAAAAAGCAAGUAAAAAUAAUAAUAAAUAAAUAAUAAAAUAAAAUGAUGAGUACAACAUAACCAUGGAAGAUGAUUAAUACUAAGUUUUACUGAACUUCAUCCUCAUACGUGGGAGACCUCUCAAAGCACCCCCAACCCCAGAUGUAUAUGUUGAGUUAAUGUGCACACUUCCAGACCCCUUUGUUACGGGAAAUAUUUCCCAAGAAGUAUUCACAGAAGUGCUUUGCACUAUCGUUGUUUUGCUUUAGUAUCUUGAUAUUGAUUUUUAAAUAUAACAUCAUAUAUGUGAGCAUGUGUUAGUGUAAUAUAAACAAACCGUUAUUUAGUCAAAUUUUGUAUGCGCAUUACUAGAUGAAUGUAAUGACAAUGGGGCCAAAGGAUUUCUAAGGACCUCUUUAUGGACAAAUAUUUAUUCAGUCAUCUGCCAUUUUAGUGAAAAAUUAUAUGUGCCUAGCAUUUUCAUAUUAGGCAGAAAAUACAGAGAUGAACAGGACAAAGUCUCCAUUUUCAUGAGGUUUACAUUCUGAGGAGGAGUAUUGAGGUGGAGACAAUUAAAAAAAUAACCAUGUAAUAUAAUGUCUGGUAUCAAUAAGUGUUUUUUUUUUUAAAAAAGCUAAAACAAUGUUAGGAGAGUGAUUGAGCAUCUAGAGAAGGCCUCUUAUGUGGUAACAUAUGAGCUAAGAGCUAAAUCAAGUGAGAGCACUCACCAAGCAUGUGAAGAUAUGGGCAAGCGCAAGUGCAAAGGACCUGUGGCCUAAAUAGGCUCCUUGUAUUCAAGGACAGAUUAGCAGACCUGUGCAUGUAGAGAAAGUAAGUGAGGGAAAAGCAGUAAGAGAGGGAACAUCUUGGAGGGCCAUGUGAGGGGUGAUGAGUGAACUGACUAUAUUAGAAUUGUUCCCUAUUUGUCUUCAAGAAGGAAAGCCUUGGCCACAUAAACACCAUGAGCCAAGAUCAGACAGAGCAGAAUGGAGUAACUGGGGACUAAAUGCAGCUUUAUACACACUAGGCCUACCCAAAGAUAAGCUCCAGAGCAUCUCUGAUGACUCCAAAGAAGGGCACAUCCCAGGGUUUUGUCUGUUUUCUACCUCAAAGAUUCACAGAUAGAGCAAACCCCAGACAAUGUGGAGCGAGGGGUUGAGUAAGAGGAGCUUCUGCCCAUGUUCCCAUUUGACCACAGGUGGCCAAUGGGUAAGCUUCUGCUUUCACAGCCUAGGUCUGUGUUAUAAAAUGUUAUAAGGAUCACCUGGGAAGCCUGUUAAAAAUAUAGAUUUCCAUGUUUCCCAACAUUCACAAAUAUGAAAUAUAGAAAUCAUGAGGGGCUACUGUACAUGUCUGGUGAAGGAAGGGGCAAAUUUCCAUUUUCAUCACCUGUUGGUACAAAUAAAGAGCCCCCUUAAGGUACUGUGACCUACAUACUAAAAGUUGCCAAUAGUAUUUAUUUUCAUAGAGAUGACAGCAUUUAUUUCCUAUACUUUGAUGGUUUUUCCCUCCUAAAGAAGUUAGGGGCUCUUGUAAUAAUAAAUGUCUUUUAGGAGUUCCCAUUGUGGCUCAGCGAAAAUGAAUCUGACUAGGAACCAUGAGGUUAUGGGUUCAAUCCCUGGCCUUGCUCAGUGGGUUAAGGAUCUGUCAUUGCUGUGAGCUGUGGUGUAGGUAGCAGAUGCAGCUUGGAUCUGGCAUUGCUAUGGCUCUGGAGUAGGCUGGCAGCUACAGCUCCAAUUGGACCCCUAGCCUGGGAACCCCCAUAUG